This 301-nucleotide ribosomal RNA is filed under the name uncultured bacterium. RNAcentral's name for it is "partial 16S ribosomal RNA". It matches the Rfam family "Bacterial small subunit ribosomal RNA", at positions 509 to 807 of the family's 1533-position model. The record is from RNAcentral.
CAGUCGCUGCGGGAAUACGGAGGGUGCAAGCGUUACUCGGAAUCACUGGGCGUAAAGGACGCGUAGGCGGAUUAUCAAGUCUCUUGUGAAAUCUUACGGCUUAACCGUUAAACUGCUUGGGAAACUGAUAACCUAGAGUAAGGGAGAGGCAGAUGGAAUUCUUGGUGUAGGGGUAAAAUCCGUAGAUAUCAAGAAGAAUACCUAUUGCGAAGGCGAUCUGCUGGAACUUAACUGACGCUAAUGCGUGAAAGCGUGGGGAGCAAACAGGAUUAGAGACCCCAGUAGUCCCUGUCUCUUAUAC